This 468-nucleotide ribosomal RNA is filed under the name uncultured bacterium. RNAcentral describes it as "partial 16S ribosomal RNA". It matches the Rfam family "Bacterial small subunit ribosomal RNA", at positions 28 to 507 of the family's 1533-position model. The record is from RNAcentral.
GACGAACGCUGGCGGCGUGCUUAACACAUGCAAGUCGAACGGAAAGGCCCUGCUUUCGUGGGGUGCUCGAGUGGCGAACGGGUGAGUAACACGUGAGUAACCUGCCCUUGACUUUGGGAUAACUUCAGGAAACUGGGGCUAAUACCGGAUAGGAGCUCCUGCUGCAUGGUGGGGGUUGGAAAGUUUCGGCGGUUGGGGAUGGACUCGCGGCUUAUCAGCUUGUUGGUGGGGUAGUGGCUUACCAAGGCUUUGACGGGUAGCCGGCCUGAGAGGGUGACCGGCCACAUGGCGACUGAGAUACGGCCCAGUCUCCUACGGUGGGCAGCAGUGGGGAAUAUUGCACAGUGGGCGGAAGCCGGAGGCAGCAGCGCCGCGUGCGGGAUGACGGCCUGCGGGUUGUAAACCGCUUUCGCCUGUGACGAAGCGUGAGUGACGGUAAUGGGUAAAGAAGCACCGGCUAACUACGUG